AUUUUGUAGCACUGCAGGUUUAUAGAUGCACCCUUGUUUUCAAAACUCUUAACUAUAAUUUUAAUGAGGUUUUCUUAAAUUUACACCGAAGAUGUGGUUUGCACGGGAUAUUUUGCCUUGUUCUACUUCAAAACAUGUUCUCUAAAUAAAAUAUAUUCUCCGUCCUUAAAUAUACAGUCCUAAUUUUAUGCAAAAUUCUAGAUGAAGUAACCUCCGACAUAGUUUUAAAACACAACAUUCAAUAAUAGAGAUCCAUAGAUCAUUGUCUGGUCCAAAUCUGACAUCAUUACGAGAAUUCGAUCCAGUAGAGGGAGUCCGCCAACGACAUCGCAUCCACGCUGGUGAGUUGAGCUGGAGCAAGAGAAACAAAUUAGAGGAGCCAAUACAAAUUAAGGAAAGAUAUAAAAAUAAUGACCUUGAAGAACUUAUUUUCUUUAAAAUAACUACUUAUACUAAUGGUUAAAACAGAAGUAUAUACAAAAGUUGUAGACCAUAGGGGAGCCUUUUGGCCCCUGCUAGCCCACUCCCCCCUGGAGUGCUACCACGCUGAGGGCAUGACUAGGGAGGAUCGCCUCUGCUUGAUUAAGAGGAGGCGAGGAGAGUGGAGGUAGGAGAAGAUUAAGAAGAAAAGGCCGUGAGGGAGAGAGGAGAGAGAAU
Molecule: long non-coding RNA, 657 nt
Filed under: Sorghum bicolor (sorghum)
Lineage: Eukaryota; Viridiplantae; Streptophyta; Magnoliopsida; Poales; Poaceae
Description: long non-coding RNA (SBIC_LNC015904)
Source: RNAcentral